Carassius gibelio (silver crucian carp) is the source of this 1648-nucleotide long non-coding RNA. RefSeq lists it as uncharacterized. NCBI's taxonomy places the organism in Eukaryota, Metazoa, Chordata, Actinopteri, Cypriniformes, Cyprinidae. The record is from RefSeq and is a predicted model, not a curated record. The transcript is spliced from 2 exons.
CCUUUGGGGUUAAAAGAUUGACAUAGGUUGAAAUACCGCGUCACGUGACCGUCGUCCAUCCUUGUCACGUGACUCUGUGUUGACGGAAAUGCUUCAGGAAUGGCGAGAAACGAAGAGAAGCAGUUUGGAAAACUGAAUCGACUGUGGCUCCAGAAAGAGAGAGUAGGACAGGGCAUCACAGGAUUGUGAACGGUGUAACAUUUCUGUCACAUGCUUGAGGUAUUCGACCAAUCACACCAAACACACUGGAUAGCUGCCCAAUCAGAGCACACCUCAAUUUUCAGAAUGAGGAGCUUUGUUAAAAUCUAUGCAUUUCAAAAAGGUUGGACAUAGAGAAGAAACAAUAAUGUACAGAAUGUGGUUUUUUUGAACCUUAAACUGCAUAAACACAUUUCAUUACACCAAAUACACAAAGUAAUGUUCUUUUUAGCAACAUCAUAUGGUCCUUUGUUGUGACGUUUUUAUCAGCUGUUUGGACUCUCGUUCUGACGCCACCCAUUUACUGCAGAUGAUCCAUUGGUGAGCAAGUGAAAUUUCUCCAAAUCUGUUCUGAAAAAGAUUCUAAUUUUUGGGUGGACGAUUCCUUUAAAAGUUACAUCAUGACCUACAUUUGUCCUGAUGUCAUGAUGUCAGUACGUAUGCUGAUUGUAUGUACGCAAGCAUAUUCAAGAACCUGUGGUUAAUGUAAAUCAUAUAUAUGUCAGAAUUAAUGUACACCCUACUAUAGGCAAAAUAUAAACCUAAAUAGGAAAAUAAUGUGCAAAUAAAUGUAAUAUUUUUUAGCUAAAAAAAUGUGCCUUCACAUUCCAAGCGGCCCUUACAGAGAGGAAGAGGAUGUUAAUGAGGACGUCAAACCAGAGGAAGCAGGAAACCGCAUAUCUCACACUUAAGAACUACGCUCGCCAUCAGCUCCUGCUCCGACCCCCCCAAACCAGGAAGCUUCAAUCCGUGAAAUUAUUCAUUAUGCAAAUUAGCUUAUUUUAUUAUUAUUAUUAUUAUUAUUAUUAUUAUUAUUAUUAUUAUGCUGCAUAUUUACAGGGAUAGUUCACCCAUAAAUGAAAAAUUGUCAUCGUUUACUAACACGUAAAACUUUGGAUCAUCUACGGAAACACAAAUUAGGAUAUUUUAAUGAGAAAGCCCAUUGAAAGUCCGGUUAACCAAAACCAGAAUCGACCAGCUUAAAUAUAAGUAUUUUUGUGGAUGAACAGAUUUAAUUUGCGCACACAAGAACCAGUGAGGUUUGUUUUUAGCCUGUGAUGCACAAAAGUCUGUGUUUAUCAUAUGGGAUUUGCUAUAUGUUUGUGUGUUUUAUAAGUAAAUAAAAGCCUAUAUUUACACUGUUCAUCAAAUAAGGAGUCCCUUCAGAAGGCUUGGAUUAAUCUUUUAUAUAAUUUGUUUUAUAUAUUCCUAAUAUGGAUCUUUUAAAAUUUUGGUUACCUGUGCUUUCAAUGUAUAGACAGAAACCUCUUAGGUUUCAUUAAAAUAUCUUAACCUGUAGAUGAAUUUAUUGGUUUGAGGGCGAGAAAUUUGACAAAAUUUAUGUUUUUUGGGGUAAACUAUCCCUUUUAACAUUUGAUAUUCAAAAUAUGUCUGAUGAAAGCAUGGAAGUGAAACUUGAAAGUAAAACAUUUUCGAGUGAAACCUGAAA